RNAcentral lists this ribosomal RNA (265 nucleotides) under uncultured archaeon. Its description in RNAcentral is "partial 16S ribosomal RNA". It matches the Rfam family "Archaeal small subunit ribosomal RNA", at positions 716 to 982 of the family's 1478-position model. The record is from RNAcentral.
AGUCACUGACAUUAGAUACCCGCGUAGUCCCAGCCCUAAACGAUGCGCGUUAGGUGUAUCGGUGACCACGAGUCACCGAGGUGCCGAAGGGAAACCGUGAAACGUGCCGCCUGGGAAGUACGGUCGCAAGGCUGAAACUUAAAGGAAUUGGCGGGGGAGCAUAACAACGGGUGGAGCUUGCGGUUUAAUUGGAUUCAACGCCGGAAAUCUUACCGGGACCGACAGCAACAUGAAGGCCAAACUGAAGACUUUGCCGGAUUAGCUG